AGCGCAUACGGUGGAUGCCUUGGCAGUCAGAGGCGAUGAAAGACGUGGUAGCCUGCGAAAAGCUUCGGGGAGUCGGCAAACAGACUUUGAUCCGGAGAUCUCUGAAUGGGGGAACCCACCUAGGAUAACCUAGGUAUCUUGUACUGAAUCCAUAGGUGCAAGAGGCGAACCAGGGGAACUGAAACAUCUAAGUACCCUGAGGAAAAGAAAUCAACCGAGAUUCCCUUAGUAGUGGCGAGCGAACGGGGAUUAGCCCUUAAGCUUCAUUGAUUUUAGCGGAACGCUCUGGAAAGUGCGGCCAUAGUGGGUGAUAGCCCCGUACGCGAAAGGAUCUUUGAAGUGAAAUCGAGUAGGACGGAGCACGAGAAACUUUGUCUGAACAUGGGGGGACCAUCCUCCAAGGCUAAAUACUACUGACUGACCGAUAGUGAACCAGUACCGUGAGGGAAAGGCGAAAAGAACCCCGGAGAGGGGAGUGAAAUAGAACCUGAAACCGUAUGCGUACAAGCAGUGGGAGCCUACUUGUUAGGUGACUGCGUACCUUUUGUAUAAUGGGUCAGCGACUUAUAUUCAGUGGCAAGCUUAACCGUAUAGGGUAGGCGUAGCGAAAGCGAGUCUUAAUAGGGCGUUUAGUCGCUGGGUAUAGACCCGAAACCGGGCGAUCUAUCCAUGAGCAGGUUGAAGGUUAGGUAACACUGACUGGAGGACCGAACCCACUCCCGUUGAAAAGGUAGGGGAUGACUUGUGGAUCGGAGUGAAAGGCUAAUCAAGCUCGGAGAUAGCUGGUUCUCCUCGAAAGCUAUUUAGGUAGCGCCUCAUGUAUCACUCUGGGGGGUAGAGCACUGUUUCGGCUAGGGGGUCAUCCCGACUUACCAAACCGAUGCAAACUCCGAAUACCCAGAAGUGCCGAGCAUGGGAGACACACGGCGGGUGCUAACGUCCGUCGUGAAAAGGGAAACAACCCAGACCGCCAGCUAAGGUCCCAAAGUUGUGGUUAAGUGGUAAACGAUGUGGGAAGGCUUAGACAGCUAGGAGGUUGGCUUAGAAGCAGCCAUCCUUUAAAGAAAGCGUAAUAGCUCACUAGUCGAGUCGGCCUGCGCGGAAGAUGUAACGGGGCUCAAACCACACACCGAAGCUGCGGGUGUCACGUAAGUGACGCGGUAGAGGAGCGUUCUGUAAGCCUGUGAAGGUGAGUUGAGAAGCUUGCUGGAGGUAUCAGAAGUGCGAAUGCUGACAUGAGUAACGACAAUGGGUGUGAAAAACACCCACGCCGAAAGACCAAGGGUUCCUGCGCAACGUUAAUCGACGCAGGGUUAGUCGGUUCCUAAGGCGAGGCUGAAAAGCGUAGUCGAUGGGAAACAGGUUAAUAUUCCUGUACUUCUGGUUACUGCGAUGGAGGGACGGAGAAGGCUAGGCCAGCUUGGCGUUGGUUGUCCAAGUUUAAGGUGGUAGGCUGAAAUCUUAGGUAAAUCCGGGGUUUCAAGGCCGAGAGCUGAUGACGAGUCGUCUUUUAGAUGACGAAGUGGUUGAUGCCAUGCUUCCAAGAAAAGCUUCUAAGCUUCAGGUAACCAGGAACCGUACCCCAAACCGACACAGGUGGUCGGGUAGAGAAUACCAAGGCGCUUGAGAGAACUCGGGUGAAGGAACUAGGCAAAAUGGCACCGUAACUUCGGGAGAAGGUGCGCCGGCUAGGGUGAAGGAUUUACUCCGUAAGCUCUGGCUGGUCGAAGAUACCAGGCCGCUGCGACUGUUUAUUAAAAACACAGCACUCUGCAAACACGAAAGUGGACGUAUAGGGUGUGACGCCUGCCCGGUGCCGGAAGGUUAAUUGAUGGGGUUAGCGCAAGCGAAGCUCUUGAUCGAAGCCCCGGUAAACGGCGGCCGUAACUAUAACGGUCCUAAGGUAGCGAAAUUCCUUGUCGGGUAAGUUCCGACCUGCACGAAUGGCGUAACGAUGGCGGCGCUGUCUCCACCCGAGACUCAGUGAAAUUGAAAUCGCUGUGAAGAUGCAGUGUAUCCGCGGCUAGACGGAAAGACCCCGUGAACCUUUACUGUAGCUUUGCACUGGACUUUGAGCCUGCUUGUGUAGGAUAGGUGGGAGGCUUUGAAGCGUGGACGCCAGUUCGCGUGGAGCCAUCCUUGAAAUACCACCCUGGCAUGCUUGAGGUUCUAACUCUGGUCCGU
This 2184-nucleotide ribosomal RNA is filed under the name Pseudomonas aeruginosa. RNAcentral describes it as "bacterial LSU rRNA". It matches the Rfam family "Bacterial large subunit ribosomal RNA", at positions 14 to 2236 of the family's 2925-position model. The record is from RNAcentral. Lineage: Bacteria; Pseudomonadati; Pseudomonadota; Gammaproteobacteria; Pseudomonadales; Pseudomonadaceae.